CGGCAGCCCGAGUGGUGAUCACUAUUAUUGGGUCUAAAGGGUCCGUAGCCGGUUUGAUCAGUCUUUUGGGAAAUCUGACAGCUUAACUGUUAGGCUUCCAAAGGAUACUGUCAGACUUGGGACCGGGAGAGGUAAGAGGUACUACAGCGGUAGGAGCGAAAUCUUGUAAUCCCUGUGGGACCACCAGUGGCGAAGGCGUCUUACCAGAACGGGUCCGACGGUGAGGGACGAAAGCUGGGGGCACGAACCGGAUUAGAUACCCGAGUAGUCC
Molecule: ribosomal RNA, 271 nt
Filed under: uncultured archaeon
Lineage: Archaea
Description: partial 16S ribosomal RNA
Rfam family: Archaeal small subunit ribosomal RNA
Source: RNAcentral